GUAGUAAUAUAGGUACAUAUAACCUAGUUCCACAUGUACAUGCUACUAUUUGGUUGCAGGAGUAAGAACAGGUACUUUUCAAGGGUCCAAACACUAAGAAGGGGUGAAUAACUAAAGAUCAGUAACACCAGUAACCAAGACAACAUUAUAGUCAUGAAGAGGAAGACAUGUAGGACAGGGCUGACACCCUAACCCCAUAGAAUUGGGGUCGGGCGACCCCACUUUGGUGGGUCCCACAGGUCAGCUCAACUCCACCGACAUCAGAGAGCCUCCAGGACAC
This 280-nucleotide long non-coding RNA is filed under the name Sorghum bicolor (sorghum). RNAcentral's name for it is "long non-coding RNA (SBIC_LNC000336)". The record is from RNAcentral. Lineage: Eukaryota; Viridiplantae; Streptophyta; Magnoliopsida; Poales; Poaceae.